RNAcentral lists this ribosomal RNA (1039 nucleotides) under Frigoribacterium sp. 736H71. RNAcentral describes it as "bacterial SSU rRNA". It matches the Rfam family "Bacterial small subunit ribosomal RNA", at positions 56 to 1107 of the family's 1533-position model. The record is from RNAcentral. Lineage: Bacteria; Bacillati; Actinomycetota; Actinomycetes; Micrococcales; Microbacteriaceae.
UGCAGUCGAACGGUGAAAGAGGAGCUUGCUCCUCUGGAUCAGUGGCGAACGGGUGAGUAACACGUGAGUAACCUGCCCCAGACUCUGGGAUAAGCACUGGAAACGGUGUCUAAUACCGGAUACGAGCUUCAGCCGCAUGGCUAGGAGCUGGAAAGAAUUUCGGUCUGGGAUGGACUCGCGGCCUAUCAGCUAGUUGGUGAGGUAAUGGCUCACCAAGGCGACGACGGGUAGCCGGCCUGAGAGGGUGACCGGCCACACUGGGACUGAGACACGGCCCAGACUCCUACGGGAGGCAGCAGUGGGGAAUAUUGCACAAUGGGCGCAAGCCUGAUGCAGCAACGCCGCGUGAGGGACGACGGCCUUCGGGUUGUAAACCUCUUUUAGUAGGGAAGAAGCGAAAGUGACGGUACCUGCAGAAAAAGCACCGGCUAACUACGUGCCAGCAGCCGCGGUAAUACGUAGGGUGCAAGCGUUAUCCGGAAUUAUUGGGCGUAAAGAGCUCGUAGGCGGUUUGUCGCGUCUGCUGUGAAAACUGGAGGCUCAACCUCCAGCCUGCAGUGGGUACGGGCAGACUAGAGUGCGGUAGGGGAGAUUGGAAUUCCUGGUGUAGCGGUGGAAUGCGCAGAUAUCAGGAGGAACACCGAUGGCGAAGGCAGAUCUCUGGGCCGUAACUGACGCUGAGGAGCGAAAGCAUGGGGAGCGAACAGGAUUAGAUACCCUGGUAGUCCAUGCCGUAAACGUUGGGAACUAGAUGUAGGGACCAUUCCACGGUUUCUGUGUCGCAGCUAACGCAUUAAGUUCCCCGCCUGGGGAGUACGGCCGCAAGGCUAAAACUCAAAGGAAUUGACGGGGGCCCGCACAAGCGGCGGAGCAUGCGGAUUAAUUCGAUGCAACGCGAAGAACCUUACCAAGGCUUGACAUAUACCGGAAAAGUUCAGAAAUGUUCUCCCCGCAAGGUCGGUAUACAGGUGGUGCAUGGUUGUCGUCAGCUCGUGUCGUGAGAUGUUGGGGUUAAGUCCCGCAACGAGCGCAACCCUCG